RNAcentral lists this ribosomal RNA (253 nucleotides) under uncultured bacterium. RNAcentral describes it as "partial 16S ribosomal RNA". It matches the Rfam family "Bacterial small subunit ribosomal RNA", at positions 524 to 776 of the family's 1533-position model. The record is from RNAcentral.
UACGUAGGCAGCGAGCGUUGUUCGGAAUUACUGGGCGUAAAGAGUGUGUAGGCGGUGCUCUAAGUUCGGUGUGAAAUCUCCCGGCUUAACUGGGAGGGUGCGCCGGAAACUGGAGUGCUCGAACGUGGGAGAGGAAAGCGGAAUUCCUGGUGUAGCGGUGAAAUGCGUAGAUAUCAGGAGGAACACCUGCGGUGUAGACGGCUUUCUGGACACAUAUUGACGCUGAGGUGCGAAAGCGUGGGGAGCAAACAGG